RNAcentral lists this long non-coding RNA (144 nucleotides) under Coturnix japonica (Japanese quail). RNAcentral's name for it is "lncRNA (ENSCJPG00005012573.1)". Lineage: Eukaryota; Metazoa; Chordata; Aves; Galliformes; Phasianidae. The record is from RNAcentral.
CAUUUAUAGAAGGACCAAGGGCUGCAGCUUGUCCUGCAGUCCUGACAGAGAUCAAGCUGUUACAAGGUUGGACAGAUAAAUAGAGUUGGAAAAGAAGGCUUUUUCUUUCCUCUGAGACCGAACUGAUCAAACAUUGCUAAAGGC